GCCCUCGUAAUAUAGUGGAUAGUAUACGGGGCUUCGGACCCUGAAACCCGGGUUCAAAUCCCGGCGAGGGCG
RNAcentral lists this transfer RNA (72 nucleotides) under archaeon. RNAcentral's name for it is "tRNA-Arg". It matches the Rfam family "tRNA". Rfam says of the family: Transfer RNA (tRNA) molecules are approximately 80 nucleotides in length. Their secondary structure includes four short double-helical elements and three loops (D, anti-codon, and T loops). The record is from RNAcentral.